Molecule: transfer RNA, 76 nt
Filed under: Corynebacterium diphtheriae
Lineage: Bacteria; Bacillati; Actinomycetota; Actinomycetes; Mycobacteriales; Corynebacteriaceae
Also listed under: 254 other names
Description: tRNA-Arg(acg)
Rfam family: tRNA
About the family: Transfer RNA (tRNA) molecules are approximately 80 nucleotides in length. Their secondary structure includes four short double-helical elements and three loops (D, anti-codon, and T loops).
Source: RNAcentral
GCGCCCGUAGCUCAACGGAUAGAGCAUCUGACUACGGAUCAGAAGGUUGGGGGUUCGAAUCCCUCCGGGCGCACCA